ACCGAUCCAAGACACGCUCCCGCCAGCACUGCCCUCCUCCAUCGUCUGUGUCAGCCGGUCCUAGCCCAUCCGUAGGGUGAAAGAACUCACCAAGAGCUUCUUCUGCCCUUGCAAACCCAUAUCAGCUACUUGUAACCAUCUCCAAGGGAUAUGGCAUUGCUCCCUGUCCAUUCAUCUGCAUGAGCUGCUCUUGACUUCCUUAAAGGGUCAAGAAAGCAACUUUUCUGCUUGUCGGAUUUGUUGACGUCAGCUGUGUGAGCCCCAACGUGGGACAAGGGUGUCUCCUUCAUUGCUUAAAGCCUAUUUGUAAGGAUGGGUCAUUCCAGAUGGGGGGGAGCAAGGGCCAGGAUCACUUUUUAAAAAAAAUCACCGCUGGUGACUGGCCCAGAGUGCAGCCACACACCCUCCCUACCCCAUAUAGCAGCCAUUUAGUAAU
Molecule: long non-coding RNA, 436 nt
Filed under: Androctonus crassicauda
Lineage: Eukaryota; Metazoa; Arthropoda; Arachnida; Scorpiones; Buthidae
Source: RNAcentral